Molecule: ribosomal RNA, 253 nt
Filed under: uncultured bacterium
Lineage: Bacteria
Description: partial 16S ribosomal RNA
Rfam family: Bacterial small subunit ribosomal RNA
Source: RNAcentral
GACGGAGGGUGCAAGCGUUAUCCGGAAUGAUUGGGCGUAAAGCGUCCGCAGGUGGCAGUUUAAGUCUGCUGUCAAAGACCGGGGCUUAACUUCGGAAAGGCAGUGGAAACUGAACAGCUAGAGUAUGGUAGGGGCAGAGGGAAUUCCUGGUGUAGCGGUGAAAUGCGUAGAGAUCAGGAAGAACAUCGGUGGCGAAGGCGCUCUGCUGGACCAUAACUGACACUCAGGGACGAAAGCUAGGGGAGCGAAUGGG